AUUGAACGCUGGCGGCAUGCUUUACACAUGCAAGUCGAACGGCAGCACAGGGAGCUUGCUCCUGGGUGGCGAGUGGCGAACGGGUGAGUAAUGUAUCGGAACGUGCCUGGUAGUGGGGGAUAACUACUCGAAAGAGUGGCUAAUACCGCAUGAGAUCUUUGGAUGAAAGCGGGGGACCUUCGGGCCUCGUGCUACUGGAGCGGCCGGUAUCAGAUUAGGUUGUUGGUGGGGUAAAGGCCUACCAAGCCUGCGAUCUGUAGCUGGUCUGAGAGGACGACCAGCCACACUGGGACUGAGACACGGACCAGACUCCUACGGGAGGCAGCAGUGGGGAAUUUUGGACAAUGGGCGCAAGCCUGAUCCAGCAAUGCCGCGUGCAGGACGAAGGCCUUCGGGUUGUAAACUGCUUUUGUACAGAACGAAAAGUCUCUGGCUAAUAUCUAGAGAUCAUGACGGUACUGUAAGAAUAAGCACCGGCUAACUACGUG
This 488-nucleotide ribosomal RNA is filed under the name uncultured bacterium. RNAcentral describes it as "partial 16S ribosomal RNA". It matches the Rfam family "Bacterial small subunit ribosomal RNA", at positions 30 to 507 of the family's 1533-position model. The record is from RNAcentral.